RNAcentral lists this ribosomal RNA (305 nucleotides) under uncultured bacterium. Its description in RNAcentral is "partial 16S ribosomal RNA". It matches the Rfam family "Bacterial small subunit ribosomal RNA", at positions 508 to 807 of the family's 1533-position model. The record is from RNAcentral.
ACAGCAGUCGCCGCGGUAAUACAGAGGGUGCGAGCGUUAAUCGGAUUUACUGGGCGUAAAGCGUGCGUAGGCGGCUUUUUAAGUCGGAUGUGAAAUCCCUGAGCUUAACUUAGGAAUUGCAUUCGAUACUGGGAAGCUAGAGUAUGGGAGAGGAUGGUAGAAUUCCAGGUGUAGCGGUGAAAUGCGUAGAGAUCUGGGGGAAUACCGAUGGCGAAGGCAGCCAUCUGGCCUAAUACUGACGCUGAGGUACGAAAGCAUGGGGAGCAAACAGGAUUAGAUACCCCAGUAGUCCCUGUCUCUUAUAC